Molecule: ribosomal RNA, 253 nt
Filed under: uncultured bacterium
Lineage: Bacteria
Description: partial 16S ribosomal RNA
Rfam family: Bacterial small subunit ribosomal RNA
Source: RNAcentral
UACAGAGGGUGCAAGCGUUGUCCGGAUUUAUUGGGCGUAAAGAGCGUGUAGGCGGCCGUACAGGUCAGCUGUGAAAACUCGAGGCUCAACCUCGAGACGUCGGUUGAAACCGUACGGCUAGAGUCCGGAAGAGGAGAGUGGAAUUCCCGGUGUAGCGGUGAAAUGCGCAGAUAUCGGGAAGAACACCCGUGGCGAAGGCGGCUCUCUGGGACGGUACUGACGCUGAGACGCGAAAGCGUGGGGAGCGAACAGG